Molecule: long non-coding RNA, 240 nt
Filed under: Brassica rapa (field mustard)
Lineage: Eukaryota; Viridiplantae; Streptophyta; Magnoliopsida; Brassicales; Brassicaceae
Description: long non-coding RNA (BRAP_LNC001413)
Source: RNAcentral
UGAAACUCGCAUUUCAUUUACGAGUUAAAACGUAUCUAGCUCAGCAACCUAGAUAGUCACCCCUUCGUCUUCAAAAGUCGUGACCUUUGAUUUUAAGGAUUUCAAGAUGUUCGAUUCACGUUAAGAAUCGGUUUGUGGAUCUGCAAUGCUUUAGAUUUAUAGGGUUCUUCGUUUCAGUUCAUCUUCUUCCACUGACAGUGGAGCUCCAGCCAGUGACGAAUAUUGCCAAUCAUGGUGGAA